RNAcentral lists this non-coding RNA (183 nucleotides) under Candidatus Omnitrophota bacterium. RNAcentral describes it as "Candidatus Omnitrophica bacterium (groundwater metagenome) 6S RNA". It matches the Rfam family "6S / SsrS RNA". From Rfam's summary of the family: E. coli 6S RNA was the first non coding RNA to be sequenced, but its function was unknown until recently. The record is from RNAcentral. Lineage: Bacteria; Pseudomonadati; Candidatus Omnitrophota.
CAUUCCCUACCUAGCUCGUGACUGGAUGGCCGUUUUUGAGCCAACACCGAACCACUGGGGAUCCGGCUUUGGGGACGGAGCGCAGAUCUCGACGAGAGGCAGCGCAGAAAUCUCCGAGAGGGUUCCCACCUAAAGCAUCUGGUUCACUUAAACGCUAUCCUACACGGCUUGUGUGGGGAUUUU